CCUACGGGUGGCAGCAGUGGGGAAUAUUGCGCAAUGGGCGAAAGCCUGACGCAGCGAAGCCGCGUGAGGGAUGAAGGUCUUCGGAUCGUAAACCUCUGUCAGCAGGGAAGAACGGUCACUGUGCUAAUCAGCAGUGAAUUGACGGUACCUGCAAAGGACGCACCGGCUAACUCCGUGCCAGCAGCCGCGGUAAUACGGAGGGUGGGAGCGUUAAUCGGAAUUCCUGGGCGUAAAGCGCUCGUAGGCGGUAUGUCAAGUCAAGGGUGAAAUCCCCGCGCUCCACGUGGGAACUGCCUUUGAAACUGGAAAACUUGAGUGUGCGAGAGGAUGGUGGAAUUCCAGGUGUAGGAGUGAAAUCCGUAGAUAUCUGGAGGAACAUCAGUGGCGAAGGCGACUAUCUGGCACAUAACUGACGCUGAGGAGCGAAAGCGUGGGUAGCAAACAGGAUUAGAUACCCUAGUAGUC
RNAcentral lists this ribosomal RNA (465 nucleotides) under uncultured bacterium. RNAcentral describes it as "partial 16S ribosomal RNA". It matches the Rfam family "Bacterial small subunit ribosomal RNA", at positions 338 to 795 of the family's 1533-position model. The record is from RNAcentral.